This 2929-nucleotide ribosomal RNA is filed under the name Brevibacillus laterosporus. Its description in RNAcentral is "bacterial LSU rRNA". It matches the Rfam family "Bacterial large subunit ribosomal RNA". The record is from RNAcentral. Lineage: Bacteria; Bacillati; Bacillota; Bacilli; Caryophanales; Paenibacillaceae.
UUAAGUUAAUAAGGGCACACGGUGGAUGCCUUGGCGUUAGGAGCCGAAGAAGGACGCAGCGAACUGCGAUAAGCCUCGGGGAGUGGUAAGCACACUUUGAUCCGGGGAUCUCCGAAUGGGGAAACCCACCAUCUGUAAUGGGAUGGUAUCCUUCACUGAAUACAUAGGUGAUGAGAGGGCAGACCCGGUGAACUGAAACAUCUAAGUAGCCGGAGGAAGAGAAAACAAUAGUGAUUCCGUCAGUAGUGGCGAGCGAACGCGGAAGAGCCUAAACCGUAGGAUUUAUCCUACGGGGUUGUGGGGCGUUUCAUAUAGGAGUUACAAAAGACAGAUGUAGGUGAACAGUUUGGGAAGACUGACCAAAGAGCGUGAUAGUCGCGUAACCCAAACAUCUGUCUCUCCGAGACCAACCCCGAGUAGCGCGGGACACGUGAAAUCCCGUGUGAAUCUGGCAGGACCAUCUGCUAAGGCUAAAUACUACCUAACGACCGAUAGUGAACCAGUACCGUGAGGGAAAGGUGAAAAGCACCCCGGGAGGGGAGUGAAAUAGUACCUGAAACCGUGUGCUUACAAAUAGUCGGAGCACUUUCUAUGUGUGACGGCGUGCCUUUUGUAGAAUGAACCGGCGAGUUACGAUAGCGUGCGAGGUUAAGUCGAAGAGACGGAGCCGUAGCGAAAGCGAGUCUGAAUAGGGCGAAAGUACGUUGUCGUAGACCCGAAACCGUGUGAUCUAGCCAUGUCCAGGGUGAAGGUAGGGUAACACCUACUGGAGGCCCGAACCCACGCACGUUGAAAAGUGCGGGGAUGAGGUGUGGCUAGCGGUGAAAUUCCAAUCGAACUCGGAGAUAGCUGGUUCUCCCCGAAAUAGCUUUAGGGCUAGCCUCGGAAUAAAGAGUCUUGGAGGUAGAGCACUGAUUGGACUAGGGGCCCUCAUCGGGUUACCGAAUUCAGUCAAACUCCGAAUGCCAAGUACUUAUGUCCGGGAGUCAGACGGUGAGUGCUAAGAUCCAUCGUCAAAAGGGAAACAGCCCAGACCAUCAGCUAAGGCCCCCAAGUGUAUGUUAAGUGGGAAACGAUGUGGAGUUGCCCAGACAACCAGGAUGUUGGCUUAGAAGCAGCCACCAUUUAAAGAGUGCGUAAUAGCUCACUGGUCGAGUGACUCUGCGCGGAAAAUGUAACGGGGCUAAACAUACCGCCGAAGCUAUGGCAGUCCUUACGGACUGGGUAGGGGAGCGUUCCAAGCAGCAGUGAAGCCGUAUCGUGAGGAGCGGUGGAGCGCUUGGAAGUGAGAAUGCCGGUGUAAGUAGCGAAAAGACAAGUGAGAAUCUUGUCCACCGAAAGCCUAAGGUUUCCUGGGGAAGGCUCGUCCUCCCAGGGUUAGUCGGGACCUAAGCUGAGGCCGAAAGGCGUAGGCGAUGGACAACUGGUUGAUAUUCCAGUACCACCUCUGUUCCGCUUGAGCAAUGGCGUGACGCAGGAGGAUAGGGUGAGCGGCCUAUUGGAUGGCCGUCUAAGCAGUAAGUGUGGUGUGUAGGCAAAUCCGCACACCAUCAAGCACAAGCUGUGAUGGCGAGGGAAAUAUAAGUACCGAAGUCCCUGAUUUCACACUGCCAAGAAAAGCGUCUAGCGAGGAACAAGGUGCCCGUACCGCAAACCGACACAGGUAGGCGAGGAGAGAAUCCUAAGGUGCGCGGGAUAACUCUUGCUAAGGAACUCGGCAAAAUGGCCCCGUAACUUCGGGAGAAGGGGCGCCUCGGUAGGGUUUAUAGCCCGAGGAGGCCGCAGUGAAAAGGCCCAAGCGACUGUUUAGCAAAAACACAGGUCUCUGCGAAGCCGCAAGGCGAAGUAUAGGGGCUGACGCCUGCCCGGUGCUGGAAGGUUAAGGGGAUGAGUUAGCGCAAGCGAAGCUUUGAACCGAAGCCCCAGUAAACGGCGGCCGUAACUAUAACGGUCCUAAGGUAGCGAAAUUCCUUGUCGGGUAAGUUCCGACCCGCACGAAAGGCGUAACGACUUGGGCGCUGUCUCGGCAAGAGACCCGGUGAAAUCAUAAUACCUGUGAAGAUGCAGGUUACCCGCGACAAGACGGAAAGACCCCAUGGAGCUUUACUGUAGCCUGGUAUUGAAACUUUGUGCAUCAUGUACAGAAUAGGUGGGAAGCUGUGAAGCGAGGGCGCCAGCCUUCGUGGAGCUGUCGUUGGGAUACCACCCUUGAUGUACGGAGUUUCUAACUUGCCGCCCUUAUCGGGUGGAAGGACCAUGCCAGGUGGGCAGUUUGACUGGGGCGGUCGCCUCCCUAAAGAGUAACGGAGGCGCCCAAAGGUUCCCUCAGAAUGGUCGGAAAUCAUUCGUAGAGUGUAAAGGCACAAGGGAGCUUGACUGCGAGACCUACAAGUCGAGCAGGGACGAAAGUCGGGCUUAGUGAUCCGGUGGUUCCGCAUGGAAGGGCCAUCGCUCAACGGAUAAAAGCUACCCUGGGGAUAACAGGCUUAUCUCCCCCAAGAGUCCACAUCGACGGGGAGGUUUGGCACCUCGAUGUCGGCUCAUCGCAUCCUGGGGCUGAAGUAGGUCCCAAGGGUUGGGCUGUUCGCCCAUUAAAGCGGUACGCGAGCUGGGUUCAGAACGUCGUGAGACAGUUCGGUCCCUAUCUGUCGCGGGCGUAGGAAGUUUGAGGAGAGCUGUCCUUAGUACGAGAGGACCGGGAUGGACGCACCUCUGGUGCACCAGUUGUCACGCCAGUGGCACAGCUGGGUAGCUAUGUGCGGACGGGAUAAGCGCUGAAAGCAUCUAAGCGUGAAGCCCCCUUCAAGAUGAGACUUCCCAUAGCGCAAGCUAGUAAGACCCCUUAUAGACGAUGAGGUUGAUAGGUUCGGUGUGGAAGUGCAGUAAUGCAUGGAGCUGACGAAUACUAAUCGGUCGAGGACUUAUCCAC